Molecule: ribosomal RNA, 253 nt
Filed under: uncultured bacterium
Lineage: Bacteria
Description: partial 16S ribosomal RNA
Rfam family: Bacterial small subunit ribosomal RNA
Source: RNAcentral
UACAGAGGGAGCGAGCGUUGUUCGGAAUUACUGGGCGUAAAGGGCGCGUAGGCGGCCUUGUAAGUCUCGUGUGAAAUCCCUCGGCUCAACUGAGGAACUGCACGGGAAACUGUUUGGCUUGAGUUCGGGAGAGGGAAGCGGAAUUCCGGGUGUAGCGGUGAAAUGCGCAGAUAUCCGGAGGAACACCAGUGGCGAAGGCGGCUUCCUGGACCGACACUGACGCUGAGGCGCGAAAGCUAGGGGAGCAAACGGG